This 1337-nucleotide long non-coding RNA is filed under the name Vulpes vulpes (red fox). Its description in RNAcentral is "lncRNA (ENSVVUG00000013091.1)". Lineage: Eukaryota; Metazoa; Chordata; Mammalia; Carnivora; Canidae. The record is from RNAcentral.
CUCGAGGGCCUCCCUGUGGCCCGGCGCCUGAAGUCGGAGCUGCUUGGGUUAGUUUUUGUUUUAUGGUGGAGGCGCAGUGUGAGAGUGUGAGGGGCAAGGGCUGGAGGGACCCCCCCAUCUCUACCGAGAGGGCGUUGGGGAGCUUGGAGCUUCCCCCACCCCCGUGCUUGAAAACGAGGCUGCUUGGAUCAUUGAAGACGGGAGGGAGAGUUACGGGAUGAAAGGUUCUGAGGCAGGCGGACCCUUCCCCACACCUGUACUGCUUGAGGUUACAAAGGGGGUCUGGGUACGAUGGAUGAGAACGAGGGGCUCUUCCUCCUGUGCUCAGACCUGCCCGGGCUUAUUGGGGAGGGGCUAUUGGGAUGUCAGAUAGAUGCUUUCCAUGCCACCCCUUUCCUGAAGCCUAGGUUUUUGUGAAGAGGAGAAACGGGAUGGGGAUGGAGCCGGGGGGGGGCUCUUCCUCCUCCCACUUGGACCCGCCUAGGCUAUUGGGGGGAGGGGGUUGGGAUGUGAGGACUAAGGCUGGGAGACCUUCUCCACUGUGCUGGAAGUGGCCGGCACCGGAGGGCACUGGCGGAUUCUCGGGGUCCUCGAUGCUCAUGCUCAGGGCCCCUCGCCUAAGGUCCGAGUGGGCUGGGUGUGGAUGUGCGGUGGGGGAAAGUAAGAGGCGUGGAGGGGAUCCUCCCUACCUCUCCCUACCUGAGCCUUACCUCCUAGGCCCUCUCUACCUGGAUCCGGGCCAAGGGCCAAAAGUCGAGACGACCCUCCCAGCCCCGCCCCGUCCCGCCUCGCCCGCUGCAGGGAGCCCGACGAGGAUGGGCACGUGCGGGCGGGACGGGGCGGGUCCCCUUUCUGGCACUCCGAAGCUCGGGGGAGACUCCCCUGCGCCCCCAGACCUUUGGGGCUGCUCGGCUAAAUGCAAGGCGCGCCCCAGACCUGGCUACCUGCUUCUAGGGCGCGCGGCGGCCGCUUCGGGGACCCGGCUUUUGCGCUCGGCCCAAGCAUCCUCCGUAGGACAAAGCGGCGGUCGUUGCACUGGCGGGCCUGCGCCACCCGCUGGGCGGGGGGCGCGGCCAGGGAAGGGGGGGCUCCGGGCGCGGCGCGGAGAGAGCUUCCGCGGAAACACGCCAGGAGCCGGGCGGGAGACAAAGCGCGCUCGCUCCUCUCGGGCCUGCGCGAGCCGGGAUGGAAAAUCCCGAGGGAGGAGGCGGCUGCGCCCUGGCUGGGUACUACGCCCCGCACCCUUCUUUCCGGCACAUCACCCCCUACGCCGGCCCGGCACCCCAGGAUGCCGUGUGUGCGAUGGUAAUCAGGGUCCCUUCUGGGAGACAUUCAAG